Non-coding RNA from Acanthosepion pharaonis, 98 nucleotides. Lineage: Eukaryota; Metazoa; Mollusca; Cephalopoda; Sepiida; Sepiidae. The record is from the annotation of a GenBank genome assembly.
GUUCAAACACUUGUUUCCGUAACAUCACCGAAGUUAAGCAACAUAGAGCCUGGCUAGUAAUUAAAUGGGUGAACAUUUGUGAAUACUAGGUGCUGAAA